CAUGCUUUCUUCAGGACUAACCUACAUUCCUUGCCUGCAUUUCCUUGAACCUAAAAUACAGUUACAGAAGAAAAAUUGCCAUAUAUUUUUGCUCUUUUUUAUUGCAUUCUCUGUUAUUUCAGCCUCAUUCAUCUCUGAAAUUUGGUGAAGCAAUUUUGGAUUCCACAGAUUUUUGUGGAUCAUUAUGAGAGGACUUGUGUCUCUCUGACGUCUUUAAUCAUUUCGUACACUUCAAGCAUGUUUUUCCUUCGCUCUGGCAAGUGUUCAACACAAUUACAAGCAAUUCUAAAGAGCUGGAAAAUCUCAUAAUCAUGUCCUUUCCCUAUCAAACACGUAUCAAUAGCAUCAUACAGACAAGCAGAGCUGGUAGAGAUAUUACUUGUAUAUUCCUCCAAGCUCCUUUCAGAACUGUUUGACGAAGUAAGCUGUUUACCUUUGAU
Molecule: unclassified non-coding RNA, 440 nt
Filed under: Hevea brasiliensis (rubber tree)
Lineage: Eukaryota; Viridiplantae; Streptophyta; Magnoliopsida; Malpighiales; Euphorbiaceae
Source: RNAcentral